UUCGAUGCAACGACGAAGAACCUUACCUGGUCUUGACAUCCCGGAGACCCUUAGGAAACUAGGGGGUGCUUCCAUCUGGAAGAAUCUGGAGACAGGUGCUGCAUGGCUGUCGUCAGCUCGUGUCGUGAGAUGUUGGGUUAAGUCCCGCAACGAGCGCAACCCUUGCCUUUAGUUGCCAGCAGUUCGGCUGGGCACUCUAAAGGGACUGCCGGUGUUAAGCCGGAGGAAGGUGGGGAUGACGUCAAGUCCUCAUGGCCUUUAUGACCAGGGCUACACACGUACUACAAUGGCCGAUACAAAGGGCAGCGACACUGCGAGGUGAAGCCAAUCCCGUAAAAUCGGUCUCAGUCCGGAUUGGAGUCUGCAACUCGACUCCAUGAAGUUGGAAUCGCUAGUAAUCGUGGAUCAGCAUGCCACGGUGAAUACGUUCCCGGGCCUU
RNAcentral lists this ribosomal RNA (439 nucleotides) under uncultured Desulfobulbus sp. Its description in RNAcentral is "bacterial SSU rRNA". It matches the Rfam family "Bacterial small subunit ribosomal RNA", at positions 950 to 1382 of the family's 1533-position model. Lineage: Bacteria; Pseudomonadati; Thermodesulfobacteriota; Desulfobulbia; Desulfobulbales; Desulfobulbaceae. The record is from RNAcentral.